This 1870-nucleotide long non-coding RNA is filed under the name Theobroma cacao (cacao). RNAcentral's name for it is "long non-coding RNA (TCAC_LNC001796)". Lineage: Eukaryota; Viridiplantae; Streptophyta; Magnoliopsida; Malvales; Malvaceae. The record is from RNAcentral.
CCAGAGUAUUUAAUUUAAUUUACAAUAACCAGUGGGCCCCUGAAUAACUAAAAGUAAGGAAGACUGUGAACCGACAGUUUGGAGGAUGCAAAUCCAAUGGUAGCCUCGAUGAAAUCAGCUAUCUACAGCCUAUUCUAAGCCUGAAAUAGGUGGAAAUGAGAGUGGUGAGAUUAUAUAAUCCCAGUGAGUAAACAAAUACCAUCUAAAAUAUCUAAAAUUGAGUAAAUGGAGACAGAUAAAAUAGUUUAACAUACUGUAAUUCAUCACCUUUCAACUUAUUUCAACCAAAUAAAAUCAAUUCAUAUAAAUCGAGUAAUUAACAUGGCUUAUGAGUAUCUUAAAACUUUGGCUCGUGCCAAAAUCAUUCUCAUACCCAAUUAUCAGGGAUACCUUGAUCAAGGGCUAUCCCAACCAAGUCCGCCAAGGCUGUUAAAAAGUCAUGUACGCAUAAAUCAUGUUUUUAUUUUGAAAACAUAGUAGUUCCUUGGCGUUGGCCGAGUUCACCCUCAUGUGGUGGUUUUGCGUGAAGUGAAACUCUAAAGUUAUACCUCGAGAGUUACCCUACUCACCUCUCCAACCGAGGUAAAAUAUAACGGGAUUCCGUGCCCCUCUAAUACGUUAGUCCAAAAGAAACCAGCCCACUGCAGCAAGUUAAACCCACCAUACAAUAAAAUUUGCAAUAGCAUGACAUGGCAAUUAUUUUAUUUUAUUUUACAACCUUUCAAGGCAAAUCAACAAUUUAUACAUUUCCAACACAUUUAUCAAAUCAACCAUUCAUGCCAAUAUUGCCAUAAGCCAAUCAAUUAGAAUCAUGAAUUUACAACACACAAAAACAAUCUCCAAUUACUCUAUUUUCAAACCAUCAUUCAAUUUUAAAACAAUUUUAUGAAAUCAUUUCAUUAAAUCACAUUUUGUUUAUAAAAUCAAAAAAUUAAUCAUUUAAUUCAUUUUUCAUAAAAUUCACAAAAUCGAAUAAAACAUACUUUAGAUAAUUAAGAUGAUGAUAAGGUUACUCACUAUUUCGAGAGUCGAAUUCCAAGUACUCCGAUUCUUGAUCCUCGAGUACUAUCUCUUUACUUUUGCCAGAAUGCUCACCACCUAGACAUAAUGCACAAUAAGCCAUUUACUACAUUGUACUAAAUUGUUAUAAAACCAAUUUACGCUUUAUACUAAUGUAUGAAAUGGGAUGCAAAUUGUUCGGAUUAUUGUCUAAACACGGUGUUCUACACAAAUUCAAUUGUGUACCUAAAUUAAACGAUAUUGGCCUAAUUCGAUCUAUCACUCGAUUAAUUGGCCAACACGUCCAAUUCAACUCCAAAUAAUUUCAUUUUUCUCCCAAUACUCCAAAUCAUCAAACACAAAUUAAAUAACUUGAAAUAUGGUAAAAUCAUCCUCACAUUUUCUCUUGGAAAAUUCAGCCAUGGUGGGUUCAUCAAUACUAUAAUUUUUCCUACUUGAUUCUCAUACCAUAAAUCACUAAUUCCUAACCAAAUCACUUGAAAUAAAAUCAAAAUCAUCCUCAAUAUUCCGCAUGGAGAAUUCGGCCAAUGAUGGGUGAUGGGAGAACAUGAAUUUUUCUUGCUUGAUUUUCAUGUUACACAUCACCAAUCAACUAAAAACACUAAAAUAUAUUGAUUUCUAACCAAAUUAAGCAUCAAAACCUCUCUCCUAGGGUUUGAUCAGCACACUAUCCUUCAUGAUAUCUUGUGAUUCAACCAUGAAAAAUGCAAAAUAAUGCAUGGGAAAGGUAGAUCACAAGUCAAAAUCAAGAAAUUUUACUUUUGAUUGCUUGAUUACUUGAAAUCCACCAAUUUUCUCUUGAAUUUUCACCCUAGGGUUCUUGUUCUUCCUUUUUCUUCCUUUGUUCUUG